CCUACGGGAGGCAGCAGUGGGGAAUAUUGGACAAUGGGCGAAAGCCUGAUCCAGCAAUUCCGCGUGUGUGAAGAAGGCCUUCGGGUUGUAAAGCACUUUAGUGGGGGAAGAAACAGCUUGGCCACACCAAGCCUUGACGGUACCCCAAGAAUAAGCACCGGCUAACUCUGUGCCAGCAGCCGCGGUAAUACAGAGGGUGCAAGCGUUAAUCGGAUUUACUGGGCGUAAAGGGUGCGUAGGUGGCUAUUUAAGUCGGAUGUGAAAGCCCGGGGCUCAACCUCGGAAUUGCAUUCGAUACUGAGUGGCUAGAGUUCGGUAGAGGGCGGCGGAAUUUCCGGUGUAGCGGUGAAAUGCGUAGAUAUCGGAAGGAACAUCAAUGGCGAAGGCAGCCGCCUGGGCCUGGACUGACACUGAGGCACGAAAGCGUGGGUAGCAAACAGGAUUAGAUACCCUGGUAGUCCACGCCGUAAACGAUGAGACUUGACGUUGGUUACGUUUACGAAUCGGUGUCGCAGCUACGACGAUAAGUUACUCCGUCCGUCGGGUAGGUACGGCCGGCCGAACGGUUAGGUAAACGUAACUAAGUAGUAGUAGACGGUACGUAGAGACGACGACGACGACGACGACGGAGGGAGGAG
This 638-nucleotide ribosomal RNA is filed under the name uncultured bacterium. Its description in RNAcentral is "bacterial SSU rRNA". The stretch from base 1 to 538 matches the Rfam family "Bacterial small subunit ribosomal RNA", at positions 338 to 873 of the family's 1533-position model. The record is from RNAcentral.